UACGUAGGGACCAAGCGUUGUCCGGAAUCAUUGGGCGUAAAGAGCGUGUAGGCGGCUUGUUGCGUCCGCUGUGAAAUCCCGGGGCUCAACCCCGGGCCUGCAGUGGAUACGGGCUGGCUAGAGGCAGGCAGGGGAGAACGGAAUUCCUGGUGUAGCGGUGAAAUGCGCAGAUAUCAGGAGGAACACCGGUGGCGAAGGCGGGACUCUGGGCCGAUACUGACGCUGAGGAGCGAAAGCGUGGGGAGCGAACAGG
RNAcentral lists this ribosomal RNA (253 nucleotides) under uncultured bacterium. Its description in RNAcentral is "partial 16S ribosomal RNA". It matches the Rfam family "Bacterial small subunit ribosomal RNA", at positions 524 to 776 of the family's 1533-position model. The record is from RNAcentral.